Molecule: long non-coding RNA, 311 nt
Filed under: Carica papaya (papaya)
Lineage: Eukaryota; Viridiplantae; Streptophyta; Magnoliopsida; Brassicales; Caricaceae
Description: long non-coding RNA (CPAP_LNC009019)
Source: RNAcentral
AGUGGUGAACUACGGUCGUGAUCAUUAGUCUUAUCUGAUAUGUAGGAGCCAUAGUGGGGAAAUACGGCUAUAGUCAUUAGUUUAUAUCUAAAAUAUUUGAUAUGGAAAUGAAUCUGUUUGCCCAUUCACAGUGGUAGUUGGGAUCCCUUCUACCCUUAGCUAAUAUAAGUUAGAAUAGCUUCACGUGAAGAUCUGUAAAAGAUGUAAAUAAAACUUAACCACCUGAGGACAUGGCUAGAAUAGUUUGUUGAUAGCCCAUGCUUUAGUAGUUUAUUUUGAUAUGUUUCUCAUUGUUCCAUCAUGACAUUCCC